Amborella trichopoda is the source of this 153-nucleotide non-coding RNA. NCBI's taxonomy places the organism in Eukaryota, Viridiplantae, Streptophyta, Magnoliopsida, Amborellales, Amborellaceae. The record is from Rfam.
CCCACACCUAUGUGUGUAGGACCCCAAAGGAUCACCAUUAAAUUUGACACAAAUCUCUAGAAAAGUUAUCAUAUGGGUGUGAGACUUGACUUUCUAGAGAUCUGUGCCAAAUCUAAUGGUGAUCUUUUGGGGUCCUACACACAUGGGUGUAGG